AACAACAACGCCUUAGUGUUUUGUUACCUUUCUCUUUUGAAUCACGAGUUAUUAUGAGCCUUGAAGGCUUAUAAGGCACUUAUUUAGCAAGCUCUAACCGUGCGCUGACUUGGAACGGUCUUUACCUUGUACUUGAUAUCGACCUUAUGGCCGAUAUCCCGUAUAUGGUAUAG
RNAcentral lists this unclassified non-coding RNA (173 nucleotides) under Armillaria gallica. RNAcentral describes it as "partial internal trnascribed spacer 1". The record is from RNAcentral. Lineage: Eukaryota; Fungi; Basidiomycota; Agaricomycetes; Agaricales; Physalacriaceae.